This 253-nucleotide ribosomal RNA is filed under the name uncultured bacterium. RNAcentral describes it as "partial 16S ribosomal RNA". It matches the Rfam family "Bacterial small subunit ribosomal RNA", at positions 524 to 776 of the family's 1533-position model. The record is from RNAcentral.
UACGUAGGGGGCUAGCGUUGUCCGGAAUCAUUGGGCGUAAAGCGCGUGUAGGCGGUUCGGUAAGUCCGCUGUGAAAGUCGGGGGCUCAACCCUCGGAAGCCGGUGGAUACUGUCGGGCUAGAGUACGGAAGAGGCGAGUGGAAUUCCUGGUGUAGCGGUGAAAUGCGCAGAUAUCAGGAGGAACACCAAUUGCGAAGGCAGCUCGCUGGGACGUUACUGACGCUGAGACGCGAAAGCGUGGGGAGUAAACAGG